CCUACGGGCGGCAGCAGUAGGGAAUCUUCCACAAUGGGCGAAAGCCUGACCCAGCAACGCCGCGUGAAGGAAGAAGGCUUUCGGGUUGUAAACUUCUUUUCUGAGGGACGAAGAAAGUGACGGUACCUCAGGAAUAAGCCACGGCUAACUACGUGCCAGCAGCCGCGGUAAUACGUAGGUGGCAAGCGUUAUCCGGAUUUAUUGGGUGUAAAGGGCGUGUAGGCGGGAAAGCAAGUCAGAUGUGAAAACUCAGGGCUCAACCCUGAGCCUGCAUUUGAAACUGUUUUUCUUGAGUGCUGGAGAGGCAAUCGGAAUUCCGUGUGUAGCGGUGAAAUGCGUAGAUAUACGGAGGAACACCAGUGGCGAAGGCGGAUUGCUGGACAGUAACUGACGCUGAGGCGCGAAAGCAUGGGGAGCAAACAGGAUUAGAUACCCGAGUAGUC
This 443-nucleotide ribosomal RNA is filed under the name uncultured bacterium. RNAcentral describes it as "partial 16S ribosomal RNA". It matches the Rfam family "Bacterial small subunit ribosomal RNA", at positions 338 to 795 of the family's 1533-position model. The record is from RNAcentral.